Molecule: long non-coding RNA, 670 nt
Organism: Mauremys mutica (yellowpond turtle)
Lineage: Eukaryota; Metazoa; Chordata; Testudines; Geoemydidae
Exons: 5
Source: RefSeq, a predicted model, not a curated record
CUAAGCUACCGGCUCUGCAGGGAAGACGAUGAGUUUGUCAACUGCCACAAUGUAACCAAUGGCUCCGCUAUCAGCCAUGCAGCCUCAGCCACGUGGCAUGAUACUUCAAUCAACUUAAUUCCAGCAGGAUGGAACCCAAAACGAUGUUUUAAAAUGGACGCUCUCCUGAAAUGGGAAAGUGAGAGCAGCAUGGACUGAGGCUUGCGGAAGGGAAAUGAGCUGGAAGCCAAGCAAAAAUAGCAUACCCUGUGAAGAUCCCUUUGAUGAAUGUGAUUUCUCAACGAUGGCGGACAUGGCAUGACGCUGUGGAUACAAAAGAAACCCUCUGAAGAAGAAAGCUGUCCCCAAACUGAGAAUACGAGCAACUGCAGGGCUGGUAGCAGGGAUUAGAAGUCUGAGCUCCAAUAGGAGGCAUUUUUGUGUGAGAUGGAUCCAGUGCUUGCUGAUGAGAAUGCUAGUCGAGGUGUUUCCAAACUUCCCAGGGCAGAUGUCGGGAAUAUAAAGAGCACUGCAGUGCGAGGACAAGCAACAUGUCCAUCACCACAUAAUCUAAGUCCUGAAGUGGAGUGUUUAUUUUCACACAGAAAAGUCACAGUUACGUGGAGUUUCGCUAUAACAGGAGAGAGCCUACCUGGUUAUUGCUCCCGCCUUCUCAGCCCAGGAACAAUGG